AUAAGAACAAUAUGGAAAUCUUAGUAAAAUUCAAAUUCUGAUUCAAUAGGUCUGAAGGCCAAUACUAGAAUUUUGUAUUUCUAAUAACUUCUCAGAUGAUGAUGAU
This 106-nucleotide microRNA precursor is filed under the name Marmota monax (woodchuck). The record is from RNAcentral. Lineage: Eukaryota; Metazoa; Chordata; Mammalia; Rodentia; Sciuridae.